ACACGACUACAUUAGAUACCCGGGUAGUCCCAGCCGUAAACGAUGCGCGUUAGGUGUAUCGGUGACCACGAGUCACCGAGGUGCCGAAGGGAAACCGUGAAACGUGCCGCCUGGGAAGUACGGUCGCAAGGCUGAAACUUAAAGGAAUUGGCGGGGGAGCACAACAACGGGUGGAGCUUGCGGUUUAAUUGGAUUCAACGCCGGAAAUCUUACCGGGACCGACAGCAACAUGAAGGCCAAGCUGAAGACUUUGCCGGAUUAGCUG
This 265-nucleotide ribosomal RNA is filed under the name uncultured archaeon. RNAcentral's name for it is "partial 16S ribosomal RNA". It matches the Rfam family "Archaeal small subunit ribosomal RNA", at positions 717 to 982 of the family's 1478-position model. The record is from RNAcentral.